CCCAAGGGCAAAAGUCUGCGGACACGCCGCGUGAGUGUGAAGGUUUCGGAUCGUAAAGCUCUGUUGUUAGGGAAGAACAAGUGCCGUUCAAAUAGGGCGGCACCUUGACGGUACCUAACCAGAAAGCCACGGCUAACUACGUGCCAGCAGCCGCGGU
RNAcentral lists this ribosomal RNA (157 nucleotides) under Bacillus amyloliquefaciens. Its description in RNAcentral is "partial 16S ribosomal RNA". It matches the Rfam family "Bacterial small subunit ribosomal RNA", at positions 367 to 521 of the family's 1533-position model. Lineage: Bacteria; Bacillati; Bacillota; Bacilli; Caryophanales; Bacillaceae. The record is from RNAcentral.